Molecule: long non-coding RNA, 996 nt
Organism: Scaptodrosophila lebanonensis
Lineage: Eukaryota; Metazoa; Arthropoda; Insecta; Diptera; Drosophilidae
Exons: 2
Source: RefSeq, a predicted model, not a curated record
CUUAGGGAAGAAGAAAAAUCAAUUGUGGACAGUGAGCGAGAGACACGUGCUAUUGCGGGAAAAAACAAAAAAAGAGACAAAAUAAGCGGAAGACAAUAUUCAAACACCGGAGUGACGACAGGAGGGUUGGGAUAUACACCAGCGAGGCUUCAUAGGCAGAGGAGUAGCAGUAACUGCGGGCGUUCUGGGAAGUGCGCUGUGCGCGGGUCAGCACCGACCGGCAGUACUGGGUCUUAGGCCGGACCUCGGCCCUAGCGGAAGUCAGGCCAAUUUCCAUGCAACUGGAAGUCUGGGCUAAGUACCCUUCAACAUUAAAAUACUAAAUAUUCACACACAUUCCGCUCAAACAUAGAACCAAAAUUUUAUAUACACCCUACAUACAUAUACAUAGCCAUCUCACAUACACCAGUGCAGCAUAUAACACAAAAUUCAACUAAAUACUCACACAUAUUCCGCUCAAACAUAGAACACAAAAUUUUAUAUACACCACACACUCCUUUAUAUACACUCCAUACAUGUUCACAUACACCAUAUUCAAACACACACCGAAUUUCCAUAGCACUCAGACUCACAUUCAUCCCAUAGCCACAUAAUGUAAAAUACAAAACAAAAAAACAACACACAAAACAAUUAACAAUUUUCUGUUACACACAUAGCCCAAACCAUUCACAACAUAAUAUAAAACAUUAAACAGAAACACAACACCCAAACAUUUAACCAUAUUGUAAUACACACACGCCCAUAGCCACAUAAUGUAAAAUACAAAACAAAAAAACAACACACAAAACAAUUAACAAUUUUCUGUUACACACAUAGCCCAAACCAUUCACAACAUAAUAUAAAACAUUAAACAGAAACACAACACCAAACAAGUAACCAUAUUGUAAACAAAAAUUCAAAUGUAUACUUAAGAAAAAAGAACAUAAAAAAAAAAGAAAAGUAAAAGAAAAUGUAUAAAGUCUAAUAUAAGCAAAAGAGGUUGGAAUGUGUAUUGGA